CAGAUACUUCUUUCUUUCUCAAGUGCGUCCAGACCUUCGCCUCCGCCUCCGCCUCCCACCCCAAAAGCCUCUCCGGUCACAGCCGCUAUUCAGAUAUGCCUCUAGCAUGUCGCCUCUCUCAAAAGUCUUGCUGGUUGCAGCUGGGUCCUAUGCCACCUAGGCCUUCAAUGUUGCCUCUUGGAGCCCCAUCGGUGGCUCCAAUGAGCUUGAGUUGAACUUUGCGCGCGCUUCGCUCCUCUCUCUCACCGGAUUUUGGGAAAUCAAGCCUGUUUCGACAUCGCCAUGUGAAAAGCUCCUCUGCCGUUGAUUGCCUGUGUUUGGUGGGAUUUCACAAGCUAUUUUGCCAAAGAAACAGUCAGGCAAAAAUUCACAGAAUUGUUGUCCUAGCGUGGCUAAUGCACUGGAGGUCCCAAGUCAUCCCUUCCAAGAAGCUAAGAUGGUUGUUUUUGCAUUUACUUCACGAUGUUGAAUUUGCGCUUGGACAUUUGGCUGGUAAGCCGAGACUUGGAGCUAUGUCUGUCCCACAUCCAUGCAUUUUUUUUUUUUAUUGUGAUUGAUAUGGUUAAUGGGGUUGCAAUACUUGCUUAGUCACUCAAUUUGAAAUAGAGAAAAGGUCAUUCGAGAGAUCCCUUUCUGAAUACUUUGUGGCUAGCUUAGAAUAUGCUUGAGUUCCAUAUGCCUUAGAUAUCGCAAAUGCAAAUGAAUCAACUGCUCAUAAGUUCUAUCCAAUAACAUGAAGGAAGAUAACAUGGAGAUGGAUGAGAGGAAUACUGUUAAUUUUGACGAGAUAUGUAUUCUAUCAUCAGUUCCUUUUCAUUUGCUGUAGCACAAUUUCAUCAGAGAAUUGAGCCUAAACAAGGAUAAAAUUCCAGCUCAGUUUAUCAAGCCAGUUCAAAGGAAAUUGAUGUGACCCGGAAAUAUGUGGAUUGUUUGACUGCACCUGCCAUGGGGAAAGUCCUAGUCUGUGAGUUCGUCUAUGAUUUCAACUUUUAAGAUAGAUUGGAAAUGAUUUUUGAUAAUUUUCUUUUUUUAUUUGACUGUAGAUUCUGGUGAACCCAUUGUUUGUGACCUAUAAUCUGCAAAGGCAUGAAUUGUUGCUUUGAUUGGGGUAUGUUGAAGUUAAAUGCUAUGUGCAGAUUAAAAUGUGUGAUGUUACAUCCCAACGAACGGUGAAAAAGAAAGUUACAUUUCAAAUUCCUUUUCUCUAGCUAGACAAUAGACAGUAAUUAGUUUCAUGGUUGUCUGGAUGAAGUAUAGGUUCCUUUUGACAUUAAGUUUUUCUUGGGGUCAAAAGACUUUGCUUUAGCAAGAUGGUAUAUAAUCAAUCUCUAACCGAUCUCAUAGGCAUGGUGACCAAUAAAGUCAAUUAGAAUCGGCAAUCUUUUGGCAUGUGUUUCAUUUUGUUCUAUAUCGGGUUUUUAUUGCAUUCUCUAGCUCUUUGGGAACUUUGUUACAGAGUGCGUUUAGUUUCUAGUCAGUGUUUAAGUUGUCCUUGCUGUGACACAUAUGACAAUACGUUUUUUAAUCAUCUUUCUGGUUUCCAAUUAAUAUUCUCUUUUCCUGAUUGAGUUCUCUAGGUAAUCUCUUUUAUCCUUACUUUUCUUAAUUAGUUCAUCUAUAAUUAUAGGCACCAAGACUACCAGGUGCUUGAAUGUGAGUAUGCAAAAGAGGCUUGAACUUUUUUGGCUCCUCUGCUGAUGCAGACAAAGCGUGAGGAUAAACAAAUUGCUUUUGCCGGGAAGAGCUUUCCCAAAUUUAAGAAUCACAAUAACCUUGGCAAUGAAGGUUUGAGAUGAGUAGCUCAGGUCAUUUUAAAAGUAUGCAAAUCUCUACUAAGUUUCAUUCUAUUUGCUCGGAAUAUCUGAACUAUGUCGUCCUUCUGGCUUAUCAGGUUAAAAAAAAAAAAAAAACAAUAGACUAUAUAAUAGCUUGGAGGAGUGACACUGAUGAAUUUGAUGAACUUGCAUUCAAUUUGGGAGGAGGCCUUGAUAUGCAUCUGGUCGCACGACUAUCGUCAAACAUUCAAUCUGGCCUUCCUCGAAGAUCAAAGGAUUACUCCUAUCUGGUCUUCCUUGAAGAUCAAAGGAUUAGUCCAUCAUGUUACUUAGAACAAUGUUUAGAAAGACUUCUUGGCAGUUGUGUAUAAGAUAUUGUGACAAAUAUUAUUGUGCUUUAACUAAUUAUUCUUAAGCUCGUUUA
Molecule: long non-coding RNA, 2199 nt
Organism: Eucalyptus grandis
Lineage: Eukaryota; Viridiplantae; Streptophyta; Magnoliopsida; Myrtales; Myrtaceae
Exons: 2
Source: RefSeq, a predicted model, not a curated record